GAUGAACGCUGGCGGCGUGCCUAAUGCAUGCAAGUCGAGCGAACGGACGAGAAGCUUGCUUCUCCGAUGUUAGCGGCGGACGGGUGAGUAACACGUGGAUAACCUACCUAUAAGACUGGGAUAACUUCGGGAAACCGGAGCUAAUACCGGAUAAUAUUUUGAACCGCAUGGUUCAAAAGUGAAAGACGGUCUUGCUGUCACUUAUAGAUGGAUCCGCGCUACAUUAGCUAGUUGGUAAGGUAACGGCUUACCAAGGCAACGAUGCAUAGCCGACCUGAGAGGGUGAUCGGCCACACUGGAACUGAGACACGGUCCAGACUCCUACGGGAGGCAGCAGUAGGGAAUCUUCCGCAAUGGGCGAAAGCCUGACGGAGCAACGCCGCGUGAGUGAUGAAGGUCUUCGGAUCGUAAAACUCUGUUAUUAGGGAAGAACAUAUGUGUAAGUAACUGUGCACAUCCUGACGGUACCUAAUCAGAAAGCCACGGCUAACUACGUG
Molecule: ribosomal RNA, 497 nt
Filed under: uncultured bacterium
Lineage: Bacteria
Description: partial 16S ribosomal RNA
Rfam family: Bacterial small subunit ribosomal RNA
Source: RNAcentral